RNAcentral lists this small RNA (16 nucleotides) under Arabidopsis thaliana (thale cress). RNAcentral's name for it is "ATSL220970". Lineage: Eukaryota; Viridiplantae; Streptophyta; Magnoliopsida; Brassicales; Brassicaceae. The record is from RNAcentral.
AGUUCAAUACCUUCUU